AUUAUAUUGGCAGAUUAGUGCAUUGAAUUUAGAAUUCAAAUAUGUAAUAUUUUACAUAUAAUA
Molecule: transfer RNA, 63 nt
Filed under: Nevrorthus apatelios
Lineage: Eukaryota; Metazoa; Arthropoda; Insecta; Neuroptera; Nevrorthidae
Description: tRNA-Leu
Source: RNAcentral